Non-coding RNA from Acanthosepion pharaonis, 105 nucleotides. NCBI's taxonomy places the organism in Eukaryota, Metazoa, Mollusca, Cephalopoda, Sepiida, Sepiidae. The record is from the annotation of a GenBank genome assembly.
AGCCAAAUCAUGUUGAAAUACCAGUUUCCAUAUGAUCAUCAAAGUUAAGCAACAUUGAACCUAUUCAGUAGCUAGAUGGGUGACCACUUGGGAAUAUCAUGUGCU